UACGUAGGGUGCAAGCGUUAAUCGGAAUUACUGGGCGUAAAGCGUGCGCAGGCGGCUUUGCAAGACAGAUGUGAAAUCCCCGGGCUUAACCUGGGAACUGCAUUUGUGACUGCAUGGCUGGAGUGCGGCAGAGGGGGGAUGGAAUUCCGCGUGUAGCAGUGAAAUGCGUAGAUAUGCGGAGGAACACCGAUGGCGAAGGCAAUCCCCUGGGCCUGCACUGACGCUCCAUGCACGAAAGCGUGGGGAGCAACAGG
RNAcentral lists this ribosomal RNA (254 nucleotides) under uncultured bacterium. RNAcentral describes it as "partial 16S ribosomal RNA". It matches the Rfam family "Bacterial small subunit ribosomal RNA", at positions 524 to 775 of the family's 1533-position model. The record is from RNAcentral.